This 500-nucleotide ribosomal RNA is filed under the name uncultured bacterium. RNAcentral describes it as "partial 16S ribosomal RNA". It matches the Rfam family "Bacterial small subunit ribosomal RNA", at positions 30 to 523 of the family's 1533-position model. The record is from RNAcentral.
AUUGAACGCUGGCGGAAUGCUUUACACAUGCAAGUCGAACGGCAGCACGGACUUCGGUCUGGUGGCGAGUGGCGAACGGGUGAGUAAUGUAUCGGAACGUGCCCAGUCGUGGGGGAUAACGUAGUGAAAAUUACGCUAAUACCGCAUACGAGCUAUGGAUGAAAGCGGGGGAUCGCAAGACCUCGCGCGAUUGGAGCGGGCGAUAUCAGAUUCGGUAGUUGGUGGGGUAAAGGCCCACCAAGCCAACGAUCUGUAGCUGGUCUGAGAGGACGACCAGCCACACUGGAACUGAGACACGGUCCAGACUCCUACGGGAGGCAGCAGUGGGGAAUUUUGGACAAUGGGCGAAAGCCUGAUCCAGCCAUUCCGCGUGCAGGAUGAAGGCCCUCGGGUUGUAAACUGCUUUUGUACAGAACGAAAAGGUUUCUACUAAUACUAGGAGCUCAUGACGGUACUGUAAGAAUAAGCACCGGCUAACUACGUGCCAGCAGCCGCCGCCG